This 77-nucleotide transfer RNA is filed under the name Microgenomates bacterium DG_75. RNAcentral describes it as "tRNA-Ala". It matches the Rfam family "tRNA". From Rfam's summary of the family: Transfer RNA (tRNA) molecules are approximately 80 nucleotides in length. Their secondary structure includes four short double-helical elements and three loops (D, anti-codon, and T loops). Further hydrogen bonds mediate the characteristic L-shaped molecular structure. tRNAs have two regions of fundamental functional importance: the anti-codon, which is responsible for specific mRNA codon recognition, and the 3' end, to which the tRNAs corresponding amino acid is attached (by aminoacyl-tRNA synthetases). tRNAs cope with the degeneracy of the genetic code in two manners: having more than one tRNA (with a specific anti-codon) for a particular amino acid; and 'wobble' base-pairing, i.e. permitting non-standard base-pairing at the 3rd anti-codon position. The record is from RNAcentral. Lineage: Bacteria; Candidatus Microgenomatota.
GGGCCGUUAGCUCAGCUGGUUAGAGCGUACGCAUGGCAUGCGUGAGGUCGCGGGUUCGACUCCCGCACGGUCCACUA